ACCCUGGUGGCACAGUGGUGAAAGCAUUUGGCUACUGACCGAAAGAUCAGUGGUUCAAACCCACUCAGAGGCU
This 73-nucleotide transfer RNA is filed under the name Loxodonta africana (African savanna elephant). It matches the Rfam family "tRNA". From Rfam's summary of the family: Transfer RNA (tRNA) molecules are approximately 80 nucleotides in length. Their secondary structure includes four short double-helical elements and three loops (D, anti-codon, and T loops). Lineage: Eukaryota; Metazoa; Chordata; Mammalia; Proboscidea; Elephantidae. The record is from Rfam by way of RNAcentral.